AAAAAAAACCUGUCACAUGAACUCUACUGGCGGGAAAAUGACGUCAUUCCACCAUCACAAGACCAUCACCUCAAGUCCAGUACAGCUUCAACCCCCGUCACAUGACAAGGGCUCCACUGUCAUGUGUCACGAGUUUAUCCAGAAAGGAUUGAAGGUAGUGGAGAAGGAAAGGUCAGUGCCUUUAAGCCGUUCUGUUUCGUGAAUUCUUCGUGGGAGUUCGACGUCGGGGAUCGAAGCAAGCGACGUGAAAGAGAAUUUAAAUCGUCUUAUUAAAUCGUCUCCUUUUAAAUGAACUUGAACCUGGUGGCGAUUGUUAUCCUGUCCCGAGGAAAGUGCGGUCUCUCCAAAUGCAUCACUCGCUACCUGCUGGGAAUGGCAGCGGCCGAUCUCCUGGUUGUUAUCUCUGAACCUCUGCUGAAGUGGAUUGUUUACAUAUAUUUCAGGUCUUCCUUCCUCUUUAUGACCCCUGUUUGUAGCGUCAUUCGUUGCCUGUUUUUAGCAAGCACCGGGUUCGCUGUCUGUCUGACGGUCGCGUUCACCUGUGACAGAUUUGUGGCCAUUUGUUGUGAAAAGCUGAAAACAAAAUAUUGCACCGAAAGAACGGCAGCUGCGGUUAUGGGGACAGUGAGUGUUCUGGGCUGUUUAGAAAGUAUCCCUUUCUGCUUUACAUUGGAACUUUGGAUAAUAUUCAACGGCGUUUUCUAUGGGUGUGUGACCAAAGAGAACUUGUAUACGUCCUCAUCAUGGGUCGCAUUUGUAAUGAUUCAUCGUAUUUUAAUGCCUUCUCUCCCGUUUGUUCUGAUUUUAUUGUUCAAUGCUCAUAGUUAGACGGAUCCUUUCCACCAAUAAGGGCCGGAUGGGGUUCCGGGGCCACAGCAACGGAAAGAAUGACAAGGACCGAAUGAAAUCCGUCGUUUUGCUAUUUAGUAUAACCGGUAGUUUUAUAUUUCUGUGGUUAACUCGGCUGGUUUUUCACAUUUACUUACGAAUUGCAAACAUCGUUCAUAUCUGGGACAAUGAUCCGAUUUUAAUCGCAGAAUCCACGGCGACGAUGCUGCAGAUCAUCAGCUCCUGCACCAACACAUGUAUUUACGCCGUGACUCAGAGUAAGUUUAGAGAGGAGCUGAAGAACGCGGUGAAAUACCUACUGAAACUGUAAACAAAAUUCCUUAAAUCAUAGAGCGACUCGUUGCUUUCUUCCGGGUUUAAGUCAAACGCCAUGGUUCCUUCAUAGUCGCUUGCCGAUAUGUAGAACCACGGGUAACAACUGAGCGCUCUGAAAUGUGCAUGCAUUUUUGUGAUUAUGUAUUUCACUCGCUGCUUACCCCGUACAGGUGACAUGCGUCCUUCUUCAAAUACGUAAUAGGUAACGUUCACCUCAGCUGUAAUUCACCCCGAUUCAGGAUCUAUAGUCUGGUCCCGCCCGAUUUAUUUAAAUAAACUCCAUUGCAUCUAACAGUGUUUUUCUCUGGGUUGGUCAAUUUUGGAAGAAUUCUCUCUUUUCUCCAUUCUCUUCGUUGUUUCUAAUUCAUCCUUUUUAGUGAUGCUCAGGGUGUUUUUCCUCACAACAUCCCUCGCUUACUCCUCCUUCCACGCCGGUGAAGGAAACGUUAUCAGACUGCAACAUAGCGGAGGGAGGGUGGGUGUGUGUGUUCUCCUUUUCUAUCUCCGGACUAAUCCGUUUUGUCCUUUAAUGUCUGCCUCUUUACCUCCGUUCACAUCCUGAGGUCCCGUGAUAAUCUGUUUCCUCUGUUCUCUGUUUCUUUCUGUCCACGCGUCCGGUCCCCUUCUGAACAAAAUGUAAUCUCAUUGCAGACUAGUGAGCUUCACCGUGAGGGAAACAUGAUAGGGCUGAAAAAUAGCGUGUUUUUUUCUUCUUUUUUUCAUCUCAAUCUCCAUCUCCGAACGGUUCCCUCGUUGACCUCUACAAAAUGGACGCGUUGCACUUGAAUCCCAAGGGGACAAAUAUCCUGGCGUGGGGGGGGGGGGGGGGUUGUUGCUAAAGAUAAUGGGGAGAGUUUAAACGAGAAUUGUUCUGGGGUGGGAACCGAAAUGAAGAGACUGGGGAAGAGGCGUUCGGGUCACAAAUAGAGAAAGCUUGGAGACAGUGUGUGAGGGAGGAUAGGGAGGUGAUAGAGAAGGGACGCGCUCAGACGGACGGUUUGAGAUGUGUCCAUUUUAACGCAGGGAGUAUUGUGAACAAAGCGGAUGAGGAUAGAGCGUGGAUUAGUACUUGAAGCUAUGAUGUGGUGGCCAUUACAGAGAAUUGGUGGCUCAGGGACAGGAAUGGUUACUUCAAGUGCCGGCUCUCUGAUGUUUCAAAAAGGACAGGGAGGGAGACAAAAGAGGUUGAGGGCGAGCCACUGUUAAUCAGAUAUACUGUCUCGGCUGCCGAAAAGUUGGACGCCGUGGAGGGAUUGUCUACGGAUUCUCUGUGGGUGGAGGUUAGGGACAGGAAGUGGUCGAUAACUUUAUAGCGUGUUUUUAUAGGCCGCCCAUUAGUAACAGGGAUAUCGAAGGGCAGAUAGGGAAACAGAUCCUGGAAAGGUGUAACAAUAAUUGAGUUGUCGUGAUAGGAGAUUUUAAUUUCCCAAAAAUAGACUGGAAUCUCCCUGGAGCAAGAGAUAUAGAUGAGGUAGAGUUUGUUAUGUAGGUUCAGGAUGGUUUCUUGACACAAUAUGUAGAUAAUCCUACAAGAGGACUACAAGAGGAGAGACUGUACUUGAUUUGGUAUUGAGAAAUGAACCUAGUCGGGUGUCAGGUCUGUCAGGUCUAUCUCCUUUUCAAUAAAAUUGGACAGAGAUCAGAGCAGACAAGUUAGAAACGUGUUCCAUUGGGGUAAAGGAAAUUAUGAGACUAUAUAGGAAGGAUAUUGGAAGCUUAAAUUGGGAACAGAUGUUCUCAGGGAAAAGUACGGAUUAAAUGUGGCAAAUAUUCAGGGGAUGCUUGUGUGGAGUUCCAAUGAGACAGGAAAGCUAUGAUAGAGUACAGGAGCCAAGGCUGGAAUAAAUCCAGACAAGAAGAAAAGCUUACGAAAGCUUCAGAGUGCUAGCUGAUGUUAGAUCUAGAAGAUUAUAAGGCUAACAAAAAGAAAUUAGGGCAGCAGGAAGGGACCAUAAAAAGGCUUUGGUUGGCAGGAUUAAGGACAACCCAAAGGCAUUUUACAAGUAUGUGAAGAGCAAGAGGGUAAGACGUGAAACAAUGGGACCUAUCAAGUGUGACAGUGGGAAAGUGUGUAUGGGAUCAAAGGAAAUAGCAGAGGCACUUAAUGAAUGCUUUACUUCUGUAUUCACUAUGGAAAAGGAUAUCAGUGAUUGUAGUGAUGACUUGCAGAAGACCGAAAAGCUUGAGCAUGUAGACAUUAGGAAAGAGGCAGUGGGAGGCGAGCGAGGUGAUGGCUGAGCCUCUAGCGAUAAUCUUUGCAUCAUCAAUGGGGAUGGGAGAGGUUCUGGAGGAUUGGAGUGUCGCAGAUGUUCUUCCUUUAUUCAAGAAGAGGAGUAGAGAUAGCCCAGGAAAUUAUAGAGCAGUGAGUCUUACAUCAGUGGUCGGUAAGUUGAUGCGGAAGAACCUGAGAGGCAGGAUUUAUAAACAUUUCGAGAGGUAUAAUAUGAUUAGGAACAGUCAGCAUGGCUUUGUAAAGGGCAGUUCGUACCUUACCAGCCUGAUUGAUUUUUUUUUCAGUAAGUGACUAAACACAUUGACGGAGGAAGAGCAGUAGAUGCAGCAAGGCAUUUGAUAAGGUACCUCAUUGAAAGGCUUAUUGAGAAAGUAAGGAGGCAUUGGAUCCAAGGGGACAUUGAUUUGUGAUCCAGAACUGGCUUGCCCACAGAAGGCAAAAAGUGGUUGUAGACGGGUCAUAGAGGCUGGAGACCAGUGGUGUGCCUCAGGGAUCUGCUCUGGGACUCUUACACGUUGACUCUGUGGUUAAGAAGGCAUACGGUAUUCUGGCCUUCAUUAAUCGUAAACUUGAAUUUAGUAGCCGAGAGGUAAUGUUGCAGCUACAUAGGACCCUGAUCACACCUAACUUGGAGUACCGUGCUCAGUUCUGGACGCCUCACUACAGGAAGGAUGUGGAAGCCAUAGAAAGGGUGCAGAGGAGAUUUACUAGGAUGUUGCCAGGAUUGGGGAGCAAGCCUUAUAAGAAUAGGUUGAGUGAACUUGGCUUUUUCUCCUUGGAGCGAAGGAGGAUGAGAGGUGACCUGAUAGAGGUGUACAAGAUGAUGAGAGGCAUUGAUUGUGUGGAUAGUCAGAGGCUUUUUCCCAGGACUAAAAUCGUUGCCAUAAGAGGACACCCGUUUAGGGUGCUGGCAGUAGGUGCAGAGAUGUCAGGGAUACGUUUUGUAGGCAGAGAGUGGUGAGUGCGUGGGCUGUUGGCAAUAAUGGUGGAGUCGGAUACAACAGGUUCUUUUUAACAGACUUUUGGAUAGGUACAUGGAACUUAAAAAAAUGUGGGCUAUGUGUAUACCUAGUAAUUUCUAAGGUAGGGACCUAUUCGGCAAAUUUUGUGGGCCGAAGGGCCUGUACUGCGAUAUAGUUUUUCUAUGUUUCUAUGUUAGCCCCUCACGGUACUUUUUUUUCUGGCUUUUGGCUCACACUUCCCCACACACACUCAUCGCAGACUUUUCCCGCCCCCCACUGUUUAUCCUCCUUCUCUCUGCUGAACUCCGGUCUCUUUCUCAUCCCAGUCUCUUCAUACACCCCCCAUUUCGCUCUUCCCCCAGGAUCUUUCUCCCCCAUCCCGCUGUACACUGUGCCCUGUAUCUCUUCAUUGUCUCUCUUUCCCAUUUAUCUCUCUCUCCCUGUCUCUAUACCGUUCCAGUGUCUUUUCUCCACCCACUGAUCUCUUCCCAGCGCUCUCUUAGCGCUUCCCAAAGUCCGACCUCGCUACCCAUCCGAAAUCUCUCAUCACCUCGUCCUCCCUCUCCACUCCCGGUCCUUCUCUCCUGAUCACAUACUCCCCAUUGUUCUCUCGUACCUCCCGUCUCUCUUCUCCACUUUCAGCUCCAGUCUCUCUCUCCCAGAUUCUUCCUCUACUCUGUCUUUCCAUUCCUAAACCUUCCUCUCGCUUUUACCCAAUCUCUCUCUCUCUCCCUCCACCAGACUCCCUUCCCCACCACUCCCUCGCCCGUCUCUCGCUCUCUCCCUGGUCUCAUUCUCCCCCAGUAUAGCUCCAUGACAUGCCUCUAUCCCAAUCUUUCUCUCGCCUUCUCUGGCCCUCCCCCUUUCCCUCGCCUUCUCGGCCGUCCCGGUUCUGUCUCUUUCGUCCAAUGUCAUUGUCCCCAGUCCAGUCUAUCUUUCCACAAUUUGUCCCUUAUACUUCAGUCCCUCUCUCAACUCAGUACGUUUCAAGCUCUAUCACUCUCAUCGUCUGGCCUCUCCCUCAGUCUCUCUGACCCUGUCUCCCUCCCCGGGUCUCCCUCUCCCUCCAGUGUCACUAAAUCCCCUAGCGCUCUCUACCCCCAGUCCUACUCUACGUCUCUCUCUUUCUCUCUCUCUCUUCCCUACUCCUGUCUUUCUCUCUCCGCGUCUCUCUACUGGGACCCUCACUAAAAGUCUUUCACUUCAACAUCGCUCACCUACUCUCCCUCUUCCGGGAUCUUGACUACCCCAUCUUUCACCACAGUAUCUCUCUCCGACACACUCUUUCUCCUGACGCAGUCAUGCUCACAUUCUCCAAUCUCUCACUCUGCCCCAUUGUCGCUUCUCCCAGCCCUACUCUUAUCACCCGCACAGCAGUCUCCCUCGGUCCCCGGAGUUUCUCUCUCCAUACCCCAAUCUCUCUCCCAGUCUCUAUUCCCCAGUUUCUUUGUCCCCUAAGUCUAUCUCCCUAGUCUACUCCCCCCACCACUAUCUGUUUAUCCCUGUUUCUCGCCACCACAUCAGUGUAUCAACCAUUUCUCUUUCACCCUGCCUCUCUGCCCAAUCCCGUCUUAUUUUCUCCCCGGUUCUCUCUCACUGUUACUCCCUGUCUAUUCGUUUAUUUCUUUCCCUUUGCUCUCUCCCACGUCUGUUCGUCUCUCCGCCAUGUUCCUCUCCUCUGGUUUUCUCCUCUAUCUCUCCCUAGGGUCCUCCUGAUAAGGUGAUAAAAUUCAAAUUGGAAUUUAAUAAAUGGAAACUGAAGUCAGAUAUAUCAGUGAAGUAAAGUGAAUUACAGAGUCUUGAGAGAGGAGCUGGCCAAAAUUGCUUGGAAAAUAACAUUGGCAGGAAUGACUGCACAGCAGCAACGGCUGGGCUUUCUGGAAGCAUUUGGGAACGCGAAUGAUAUGUACAUCAAAAAAGGAAGAAGAUUUCUAAAGGGAAUAUGGCUAUCAUGAGAAGUCAAAGCCAACGUAAAACCCAGAGAGAAGACAUAUCUUAUAGAAGAAAAGUGAUAAAGCACUGGUAAUCUCGUUUAAAGCAGAAGGCAACUAACGAAGUAAUUAAGAUAUGAUGACUUCGAAAUGAUGGAAUACGAAGGUAAGCUAGCCCGCAAUUUGAAGGGGGAUACCAAGAGUUUCUUCAGAUACAUGAAGGAUAAACGAGAUGCGAACUUAACUCUACUCUAAGGGAUACUCAGUGACUUGGAAAUUUUAUG
Molecule: long non-coding RNA, 6574 nt
Organism: Hypanus sabinus (Atlantic stingray)
Lineage: Eukaryota; Metazoa; Chordata; Chondrichthyes; Myliobatiformes; Dasyatidae
Exons: 3
Source: RefSeq, a predicted model, not a curated record